UUUGUACGGAGUAAUAUUAUUAGUAAUUGAGUGAUUUGAACCCUAUGUUAAUUUUUCAGAUUGUUUAAUUCUGCUCUUAUUGUUUAAAAGGCUAUCAUAGGUGAUCAGGUAGUUUAAUCAACAAGAUAGUAACUGAUUUGUUUUCUAAAAUUGAAUCAUGUUGUGAAGUGUAGUUAUUGGUUGGGGGAGAAACUUACUUUGUUCUGAUCUGAGUUAUUUUGACAACUCCUAAUAUAGGGUGAUAGGAGAGGCCUUGGUUGAUUGUAACAAUUUUGAAACUGGUUUGUAGGAAUGUUAAUGUUGAUGCGUUGAAUUGGCGAAUGAAUUGUUUAACAGGUUAAUCCUCCGUUGCAGUUCCCUGUUCUAUCAGAUAUUAUGCAAUUCUGAGUUAGGUAACAAUAUCCAAAUGAAAUAGCAGAUGAGUAGAACCGAAACUUAAAGGAGCAAGCCACCUAUUGCCAUGCUUUACUGUGUUAGCUGAGCUAAAUAUGUCAAAGGUACCAUUUAAUUGGUUUAAAUUUUUAAUAUACAUUUGUUUUAUCAGGUCUGAAUUGCAGCCCAUUUCAAGUUGCAGUAUAUUUAACUGAAAAGUUAAAUUUUUUUAUUCACGUGAAGUCAAGUAUCACAUGUCACAAUCUAUCUGUAUUUUAGGUGGUUCGUUAUCAGCGAAUGAUAGUCUCGACUGUUAGUAAAUGGAUCUUGGAUUUACUACAAUUUCUGGUGAUUUUACGGUGAUUCAUCGGCGGGGUUUGUUAACUGAUUUAAAAUACACAAAGUAAAUAAAGAUAAACGAAACGAUAAUGCUGCGAUGUACAUAUGGUCGCUGCUUGUAAUGAAACCGAAAAGCAUAGUGAUACACACUCUGAAAUGAUGUUGCUGGCAAAUGUAGCAAUGUCAAAAAAUUUUCCCACGUAAAUUUUUUCCGAUGUUAACAUUUUUAUAAAAAAGGAUGAUUGUGUGGUUUAUUUAUUUUCCUUUAGCCAUGUUACUCCAUGACUUGUGAUAGAACUGUAACGGGUAAUGUCGUAAUGUUUGCCUCAAACAUAUUUUAUAUAUUAAUUUAUAUCAAAUAAUGAAUAUAUUGUAUGAUGAAAUGUUAAUAAACCAAAUCUUAAAUUACUUU
This 1123-nucleotide long non-coding RNA is filed under the name Daphnia magna. RNAcentral describes it as "uncharacterized LOC116921782, transcript variant X2". Lineage: Eukaryota; Metazoa; Arthropoda; Branchiopoda; Diplostraca; Daphniidae. The record is from RNAcentral.